RNAcentral lists this ribosomal RNA (2905 nucleotides) under Salmonella enterica. RNAcentral describes it as "Bacterial large subunit ribosomal RNA". It matches the Rfam family "Bacterial large subunit ribosomal RNA". Lineage: Bacteria; Pseudomonadati; Pseudomonadota; Gammaproteobacteria; Enterobacterales; Enterobacteriaceae. The record is from RNAcentral.
GUUAAGCGACUAAGCGUACACGGUGGAUGCCCUGGCAGUCAGAGGCGAUGAAGGGCGUGCUAAUCUGCGAUAAGCGCCGGUAAGGUGAUAUGAACCGUUAUAACCGGCGAUACCCGAAUGGGGAAACCCAGUGUGACUCGUCACACUAUCAUUAACUGAAUCCAUAGGUUAAUGAGGCGAACCGGGGGAACUGAAACAUCUAAGUACCCCGAGGAAAAGAAAUCAACCGAGAUUCCCCCAGUAGCGGCGAGCGAACGGGGAGGAGCCCAGAGCCUGAAUCAGCAUGUGUGUUAGUGGAAGCGUCUGGAAAGGCGCGCGAUACAGGGUGACAGCCCCGUACACAAAAGCGCAUGUGCUGUGAGCUCGAUGAGUAGGGCGGGACACGUGGUAUCCUGUCUGAAUAUGGGGGGACCAUCCUCCAAGGCUAAAUACUCCUGACUGACCGAUAGUGAACCAGUACCGUGAGGGAAAGGCGAAAAGAACCCCGGCGAGGGGAGUGAAAAAGAACCUGAAACCGUGUACGUACAAGCAGUGGGAGCACAGGUUUACCUGUGUGACUGCGUACCUUUUGUAUAAUGGGUCAGCGACUUAUAUUCUGUAGCAAGGUUAACCGUAUAGGGGAGCCGUAGGGAAACCGAGUCUUAACCGGGCGUUAAGUUGCAGGGUAUAGACCCGAAACCCGGUGAUCUAGCCAUGGGCAGGUUGAAGGUUGGGUAACACUAACUGGAGGACCGAACCGACUAAUGUUGAAAAAUUAGCGGAUGACCUGUGGCUGGGGGUGAAAGGCCAAUCAAACCGGGAGAUAGCUGGUUCUCCCCGAAAGCUAUUUAGGUAGCGCCUCGUGAAUUCAUCUCCGGGGGUAGAGCACUGUUUCGGCUAGGGGGCCAUCCCGGCUUACCAACCCGAUGCAAACUGCGAAUACCGGAGAAUGUUAUCACGGGAGACACACGGCGGGUGCUAACGUCCGUCGUGAAGAGGGAAACAACCCAGACCGCCAGCUAAGGUCCCAAAGUCAUGGUUAAGUGGGAAACGAUGUGGGAAGGCCCAGACAGCCAGGAUGUUGGCUUAGAAGCAGCCAUCAUUUAAAGAAAGCGUAAUAGCUCACUGGUCGAGUCGGCCUGCGCGGAAGAUGUAACGGGGCUAAACCAUGCACCGAAGCUGCGGCAGCGACGCUUAUGCGUUGUUGGGUAGGGGAGCGUUCUGUAAGCCUGUGAAGGUGUGUCGUGAGGCAUGCUGGAGGUAUCAGAAGUGCGAAUGCUGACAUAAGUAACGAUAAAGCGGGUGAAAAGCCCGCUCGCCGGAAGACCAAGGGUUCCUGUCCAACGUUAAUCGGGGCAGGGUGAGUCGACCCCUAAGGCGAGGCCGAAAGGCGUAGUCGAUGGGAAACGGGUUAAUAUUCCCGUACUUGGUGUUACUGCGAAGGGGGGACGGAGAAGGCUAUGUUGGCCGGGCGACGGUUGUCCCGGUUUAAGCGUGUAGGUGUGUGUUCCAGGUAAAUCCGGUUCACUUUAACACUGAGGCGUGAUGACGAGGCACUACGGUGCUGAAGCAACAAAUGCCCUGCUUCCAGGAAAAGCCUCUAAGCAUCAGGUAACAUCAAAUCGUACCCCAAACCGACACAGGUGGUCAGGUAGAGAAUACCAAGGCGCUUGAGAGAACUCGGGUGAAGGAACUAGGCAAAAUGGUGCCGUAACUUCGGGAGAAGGCACGCUGAUAUGUAGGUGAAGUGAUUUACUCAUGGAGCUGAAAUCAGUCGAAGAUACCAGCUGGCUGCAACUGUUUAUUAAAAACACAGCACUGUGCAAACACGAAAGUGGACGUAUACGGUGUGACGCCUGCCCGGUGCCGGAAGGUUAAUUGAUGGGGUCAGCGCAAGCGAAGCUCCUGAUCGAAGCCCCGGUAAACGGCGGCCGUAACUAUAACGGUCCUAAGGUAGCGAAAUUCCUUGUCGGGUAAGUUCCGACCUGCACGAAUGGCGUAAUGAUGGCCAGGCUGUCUCCACCCGAGACUCAGUGAAAUUGAACUCGCUGUGAAGAUGCAGUGUACCCGCGGCAAGACGGAAAGACCCCGUGAACCUUUACUAUAGCUUGACACUGAACAUUGAGCCUUGAUGUGUAGGAUAGGUGGGAGGCUUUGAAGCGUGGACGCCAGUCUGCGUGGAGCCGACCUUGAAAUACCACCCUUUAAUGUUUGAUGUUCUAACGUGGACCCGUAAUCCGGGUUGCGGACAGUGUCUGGUGGGUAGUUUGACUGGGGCGGUCUCCUCCUAAAGAGUAACGGAGGAGCACGAAGGUUGGCUAAUCCUGGUCGGACAUCAGGAGGUUAGUGCAAUGGCAUAAGCCAGCUUGACUGCGAGCGUGACGGCGCGAGCAGGUGCGAAAGCAGGUCAUAGUGAUCCGGUGGUUCUGAAUGGAAGGGCCAUCGCUCAACGGAUAAAAGGUACUCCGGGGAUAACAGGCUGAUACCGCCCAAGAGUUCAUAUCGACGGCGGUGUUUGGCACCUCGAUGUCGGCUCAUCACAUCCUGGGGCUGAAGUAGGUCCCAAGGGUAUGGCUGUUCGCCAUUUAAAGUGGUACGCGAGCUGGGUUUAGAACGUCGUGAGACAGUUCGGUCCCUAUCUGCCGUGGGCGCUGGAGAACUGAGGGGGGCUGCUCCUAGUACGAGAGGACCGGAGUGGACGCAUCACUGGUGUUCGGGUUGUCAUGCCAAUGGCACUGCCCGGUAGCUAAAUGCGGAAAAGAUAAGUGCUGAAAGCAUCUAAGCACGAAACUUGCCCCGAGAUGAGUUCUCCCUGAGACUUAGAGUCUCCUGAAGGAACGUUGAAGACGACGACGUUGAUAGGCCGGGUGUGUAAGCACAGCGAUGCGUUGAGCUAACCGGUACUAAUGAACCGUGAGGCUUAACC